RNAcentral lists this unclassified non-coding RNA (271 nucleotides) under Chaetothyriales sp. RNAcentral describes it as "partial contains 5.8S ribosomal RNA, internal transcribed spacer 2, and large subunit ribosomal RNA". The record is from RNAcentral. Lineage: Eukaryota; Fungi; Ascomycota; Eurotiomycetes; Chaetothyriales.
CGCACAUUGCGCCCUUUGGUAUUCCGAAGGGCAUGCCUGUUCGAGCGUCAUUAUCACCUCUCGAGCCCCCGCGCUCGGUGUUGGACGGCCUGGUCGCGGAGACGCGACCCCUCCGAAAGACAAUGACGGCGGCCUGUGGUUCCCCCGGUACACUGAGCUUCUCACCGAGCACGUAUCGGACAAGGGCGCCCGGGACCCGGUCUUCUCCCCUCACCGGGGACAUUUUCAAAUGGUUGACCUCGGAUCAGGUAGGAAUACGCGCUGAACUUAA